RNAcentral lists this ribosomal RNA (446 nucleotides) under uncultured bacterium. RNAcentral's name for it is "bacterial SSU rRNA". It matches the Rfam family "Bacterial small subunit ribosomal RNA", at positions 330 to 792 of the family's 1533-position model. The record is from RNAcentral.
GCCAGACUCCUACGGGAGGCAGCAGUGGGGGAUAUUGCACAAUGGGGGAAACCCUGAUGCAGCGACGCCGCGUGAGUGAAGAAGUAUUUCGGUAUGUAAAGCUCUAUCAGCAGGGAAGAAAAAAGACGGUACCUGACUAAGAAGCCCCGGCUAACUACGUGCCAGCAGCCGCGGUAAUACGUAGGGGGCAAGCGUUAUCCGGAUUUACUGGGUGUAAAGGGAGCGUAGACGGUGAUGCAAGUCGGAAGUGAAAGCCCGGGGCUCAACUCCGGGACUGCUUUUGAAACUGUGUGACUGGAGUGCAGGAGAGGUAAGCGGAAUUCCUGGUGUAGCGGUGAAAUGCGUAGAUAUUAGGAGGAACACCAGUGGCGAAGGCGGCUUACUGGACUGUAACUGACGUUGAGGCUCGAAAGCGUGGGGAGCAAACAGGAUUAGAUACCCCAGUA